GAUGAAGAACGUAGCGAAAUGCGAUAAGUAAUGUGAAUUGCAGAAUUCAGUGAAUCAUCGAAUCUUUGAACGCACAUUGCGCCCGCCAGUAUUCUGGCGGGCAUGCCUGUUCGAGCGUCAUUACAACCCUCAGGCCCCCGGGCCUGGCGUUGGGGAUCGGCGGAGCCCCCCGUGGGCACACGCCGUCCCCCAAAUGCAGUGGCGGUCCCGCCGCAGCUUCCAUCGCGUAGUAGCUAACACCUCGCGACUGGAGAGCGGCGCGGCCACGCCGUAAAACACCCAACUCUUCUGAAGUUAACCUCGAAUCAGGUAGGAAUACCCGCUGAACUUAAGCAUAUCAAUAAGCGGAGGA
RNAcentral lists this unclassified non-coding RNA (352 nucleotides) under soil metagenome. RNAcentral describes it as "partial contains 5.8S ribosomal RNA, internal transcribed spacer 2, and large subunit ribosomal RNA". The stretch from base 1 to 120 matches the Rfam family "5.8S ribosomal RNA", at positions 35 to 154 of the family's 154-position model. The record is from RNAcentral.